RNAcentral lists this ribosomal RNA (460 nucleotides) under uncultured bacterium. RNAcentral describes it as "partial 16S ribosomal RNA". It matches the Rfam family "Bacterial small subunit ribosomal RNA", at positions 338 to 795 of the family's 1533-position model. The record is from RNAcentral.
CCUACGGGAGGCAGCAGUGAGGAAUAUUGGUCAAUGGGCUUACGCCUGAACCAGCCAAGUCGCGUGAGGGAAGACUGCCCUAUGGGUUGUAAACGUCUUUUGUCAGGGAGCAACGCCGGCUACGUGUAGGCGGACUGAGAGUACCUGAAGAAAAAGCAGCGGCUAACUCCGUGCCAGCAGCCGCGGUAAUACGGAGGAUGCGAGCGUUAGCCGGAUUUAUUGGGUUAAAAGGGUGCGGAGGCGGAAUGCCAAGUCAGCGGUAAAAUCGCGGGGCUCAACCUCGCUCCGCCGUUGAAACUGGCGUUAUUGAGUGGGCGAGAGGUAUGCGGAAUUCGUGGUGUAGCGGUGAAAUGCAUAGAUAUCACGAAGAACUCCGAUUGCGAAGGCAGCAUACCGGCGCCCAACUGACGCUGAAGCACGAAAGCGUGGGUAUCGAACAGGAUUAGAUACCCUUGUAGUC